This is a non-coding RNA of Ceratotherium simum simum (southern white rhinoceros), 104 nucleotides long. The record is from RefSeq and is a predicted model, not a curated record. Lineage: Eukaryota; Metazoa; Chordata; Mammalia; Perissodactyla; Rhinocerotidae.
GUCAGAAUGCCACAGGCCUAGCUAAUCAGAAAUGCCGCAGCCCGGCCAAUCAGAAACACCACAGCUCAGCCAAUCAGAAAUGCUGCAGCCCAGCCAAUCAGAAA